RNAcentral lists this ribosomal RNA (1016 nucleotides) under uncultured bacterium. RNAcentral's name for it is "bacterial SSU rRNA". It matches the Rfam family "Bacterial small subunit ribosomal RNA", at positions 357 to 1376 of the family's 1533-position model. The record is from RNAcentral.
AGGAAUAUUGGUCAAUGGACGAGAGUCUGAACCAGCCAAGUAGCGUGAAGGAUGACUGCCCUAUGGGUUGUAAACUUCUUUUAUACGGGAAUAAAGUGAGGCACGUGUGCCUUUUUGUAUGUACCGUAUGAAUAAGGAUCGGCUAACUCCGUGCCAGCAGCCGCGGUAAUACGGAGGAUCCGAGCGUUAUCCGGAUUUAUUGGGUUUAAAGGAAGCGUAGGCGGACGCUUAAGUCAGUUGUGAAAGUUUGCGGCUCAACCGUAAAAUUGCAGUUGAUACUGGGUGUCUUGAGUACAGUAGAGGCAGGCGGAAUUCGUGGUGUAGCGGUGAAAUGCUUAGAUAUCACGAAGAACUCCGAUUGCGAAGGCAGCUUGCUGGACUGUAACUGACGCUGAUGCUCGAAAGUGUGGGUAUCAAACAGGAUUAGAUACCCUGGUAGUCCACACAGUAAACGAUGAAUACUCGCUGUUUGCGAUAUACAGUAAGCGGCCAAGCGAAAGCGUUAAGUAUUCCACCUGGGGAGUACGCCGGCAACGGUGAAACUCAAAGGAAUUGACGGGGGCCCGCACAAGCGGAGGAACAUGUGGUUUAAUUCGAUGAUACGCGAGGAACCUUACCCGGGCUUGAAUUGCAACUGAAUGAUGUGGAGACAUGUCAGCCGCAAGGCAGUUGUGAAGGUGCUGCAUGGUUGUCGUCAGCUCGUGCCGUGAGGUGUCGGCUUAAGUGCCAUAACGAGCGCAACCCUUAUCGAUAGUUACCAUCAGGUUAUGCUGGGGACUCUGUCGAGACUGCCGUCGUAAGAUGUGAGGAAGGUGGGGAUGACGUCAAAUCAGCACGGCCCUUACGUCCGGGGCUACACACGUGUUACAAUGGGGGGUACAGAAGGCAGCUACACGGCGACGUGAUGCUAAUCCCGAAAGCCUCUCUCAGUUCGGAUUGGAGUCUGCAACCCGACUCCAUGAAGCUGGAUUCGCUAGUAAUCGCGCAUCAGCCACGGCGCGGUGAAUACGUUCCCG